GACUUGCUUUUGAUCCAUGGUAGCGGGAGAGUGAAGUUACUGCGAUUUUUAUUGCAUUUACAGUCUGGGCGUCAUCUCUCAUUGCCCUACGUGGAGUAUGUUAAGGUGAAGUCAGUUAAACUCAGGCCCGGAAUGGUAAGCCACAACGGCUGUGGCAUUGACGGGGAACUUUUCUCGGUAAACGGGCAAGUAAUAUGCUCCUUGCUUCCAGAGCAAUG
Molecule: unclassified non-coding RNA, 218 nt
Filed under: Hevea brasiliensis (rubber tree)
Lineage: Eukaryota; Viridiplantae; Streptophyta; Magnoliopsida; Malpighiales; Euphorbiaceae
Source: RNAcentral